RNAcentral lists this transfer RNA (53 nucleotides) under Syphacia muris. RNAcentral's name for it is "tRNA-Arg". Lineage: Eukaryota; Metazoa; Nematoda; Chromadorea; Rhabditida; Oxyuridae. The record is from RNAcentral.
AAGUGAUAAAUGGUUUACCAUACUUGUUUACGGGUCAAGGUGAGGUUCAUUUU